UGGCGAACGGGUGAGUAAUACAUCGGAACGUGUCCUGUUGUAGUGGGGGAUAGCCCGGCGAAAGCCGGAUUAAUACCGCAUACGCUCUGCGGAGGAAAGCGGGGGAGAUCCUUCGGGACCUCGCGCUACAGGGGCGGCCGAUGGCAGAUUAGCUAGUUGGUGGGGUAAAGGCCUACCAAGGCGACGAUCUGUAGCUGGUCUGAGAGGACGACCAGCCACACUGGGACUGAGACACGGCCCAGACUCCUACGGGAGGCAGCAGUGGGGAAUUUUGGACAAUGGGGGCAACCCUGAUCCAGCAAUGCCGCGUGUGUGAAGAAGGCCUUCGGGUUGUAAAGCACUUUUGUCCGGAAAGAAAACGUCGUGGUUAAUACCCGUGGCGGAUGACGGUACCGGAAGAAUAAGCACCGGCUAACUACGUGCCAGCAGCCGCGGUAAUACGUAGGGUGCAAGCGUUAAUCGGAAUUACUGGGCGUAAAGCGUGCGCAGGCGGUUCGCUAAGACAGAUGUGAAAUCCCCGGGCUUAACCUGGGAACUGCAUUUGUGACUGGCGGGCUAGAGUAUGGCAGAGGGGGGUAGAAUUCCACGUGUAGCAGUGAAAUGCGUAGAGAUGUGGAGGAAUACCGAUGGCGAAGGCAGCCCCCUGGGCCAAUACUGACGCUCAUGCACGAAAGCGUGUGGAGCGCAAACAGGAUUAGAUACCCUGGUAGUCCACGCCCUAAACGAUGUCAACUGGUUGUCGGGCCUUCAUUGGCUUGGUAACGUAGCUAACGCGUGAAGUUGACCGCCUGGGGAGUACGGUCGCAAGAUUAAAACUCAAAGGAAUUGACGGGGACCCGCACAAGCGGUGGAUGAUGUGGAUUAAUUCGAUGCAACGCGAAAAACCUUACCUACCCUUGACAUGGAUGGAAUCCCGCCGAGAGGUGGGAGUGCCCGAAAGGGAGCCCUCACACAGGUGCUGCAUGGCUGUCGUCAGCUCGUGUCGUGAGAUGUUGGGUUAAGUCCCGCAACGAGCGCAACCCUUGUCCCUAGUUGCUACGCAAGAGCACUCCAGGGAGACUGCCGGUGACAAACCGGAGGAAGGUGGGGAUGACGUCAAGUCCUCAUGG
RNAcentral lists this ribosomal RNA (1109 nucleotides) under uncultured endophytic bacterium. Its description in RNAcentral is "bacterial SSU rRNA". It matches the Rfam family "Bacterial small subunit ribosomal RNA", at positions 96 to 1198 of the family's 1533-position model. The record is from RNAcentral.